AGCAGCCGCCGCGGUAAUACGUAGGGUGCGAGCGUUAAUCGGAAUUGCUGGGCGUAAAGCGUGCGCAGGCGGUUCGUUAAGACAGAUGUGAAAUCCCCGGGCUUAACCUGGGAACUGCAUUUGUGACUGGCAAGCUAGAGUAUGGCAGAGGGGGGUGGAAUUCCGCGUGUAGCAGUGAAAUGCGUAGAUAUGCGGAGGAACACCGAUGGCGAAGGCAGCCCCCUGGGCCAAUACUGACGCUCAUGCACGAAAGCGUGGGGAGCAAACAGGAUUAGAUACCCCCGUAGUCCCUGUCUCUUAUAC
This 303-nucleotide ribosomal RNA is filed under the name uncultured bacterium. RNAcentral's name for it is "partial 16S ribosomal RNA". It matches the Rfam family "Bacterial small subunit ribosomal RNA", at positions 507 to 807 of the family's 1533-position model. The record is from RNAcentral.